GAGUUUGAUCUUGGCUCAGAACGAACGCUGGCAGCGUGGAUAAGACAUGCAAGUCGAACGGGGGAAGUUGCUAGCUUGUCUAAUAAUUCUCUAGUGGCGCACGGGUGGAGUAACACGUGAGUAACCUGCCUCCGAGAGCGGGAUAGCCCUCGGGAAACUGGGAGUUAAUACCGCAUAGUAUCGAAAGAUUAAAGCAGCAAUGCGCUUGGGGAUGGGCUCGCGGCCUAUUAGUUAGUUGGUGAGGUAACGGCUCACCAAGGCGAUGACGGGUAGCCGGUCUGAGAGGAUGUCCGGCCACACUGGAACUGAGACACGGUCCAGACACCUACGGGUGGCAGCAGUCGAGAAUCAUUCACAAUGGGGGAAACCCUGAUGGUGCGACGCCGCGUGGGGGAAUGAAGGUCUUCGGAUUGUAAACCCCUGUCAUGUGGGAGCAAAUUAAAAAGAUAGUACCACAAGAGGAAGAGACGGCUAACUCUGUGCCAGCCGCCGCCGU
This 496-nucleotide ribosomal RNA is filed under the name uncultured microorganism. RNAcentral describes it as "bacterial SSU rRNA". It matches the Rfam family "Bacterial small subunit ribosomal RNA", at positions 9 to 521 of the family's 1533-position model. The record is from RNAcentral.